This is a long non-coding RNA of Serinus canaria (Common canary), 274 nucleotides long. RefSeq lists it as uncharacterized. NCBI's taxonomy places the organism in Eukaryota, Metazoa, Chordata, Aves, Passeriformes, Fringillidae. The record is from RefSeq and is a predicted model, not a curated record. The transcript has 2 exons.
GGGAAUGUGUCUUGUUCUAACUUCAUGUUGCUUGGGACCAGCAUUUGUCUGGCAAUGGUUUUAAUACAGACCAAACCAGGAAAAACAGGGAUGGAACAUAAGAAGCUUUGUAAAAUGGAAGAAGCUUUUGGCGUGUCAAACAGGCAUGAAAGAAAAAUCUAGUCUGUGAUUUGAAGACUGCUGCAGGUGUUUAACCAUCUGUAUCUCUCCAAGAAGUGAAGGUUGCUAAGUGACCAUUACUACUUAUCUAAUACAGAAUCAACCAAACUGUUUA